Non-coding RNA from Caerostris darwini, 82 nucleotides. The record is from the annotation of a GenBank genome assembly. Lineage: Eukaryota; Metazoa; Arthropoda; Arachnida; Araneae; Araneidae.
UCUCGUUAGAUCACCGAAGUCAGGCAUCAUUGGGCGCGGUCAGUACUUGGGUGGGUGACCACCUGGGAACGUCGCGUGCCGU